RNAcentral lists this microRNA precursor (114 nucleotides) under Poecilia formosa (Amazon molly). RNAcentral's name for it is "miRNA (ENSPFOG00000021255.1)". The record is from RNAcentral. Lineage: Eukaryota; Metazoa; Chordata; Actinopteri; Cyprinodontiformes; Poeciliidae.
GUGUUCAUACGUUCAACUUUUACUUAUUUGACAAUUAAAUAAAUGUGUGUGUGUGUGUGUGUGUGUGUAUAUAUAUAUAUAUAUAUUUAUAUACACAUUGCAGUGUACCCAAGA